Molecule: ribosomal RNA, 254 nt
Filed under: uncultured bacterium
Lineage: Bacteria
Description: partial 16S ribosomal RNA
Rfam family: Bacterial small subunit ribosomal RNA
Source: RNAcentral
CAGAGGGGGCUAGCGUUGUUCGGAAUUACUGGGCGUAAAGGGCGCGUAGGCGGUUUCUUAAGUUAGAAGUGAAAGCCCGAGGCUUAACCUCGGAAUUGCUUUUAAUACUGAGAGGCUAGAGACCGGUAGGGGAUAGUGGAAUUCCUAGUGUAGGAGUGAAAUCCGUAGAUAUUAGGAGGAACACCAGUGGCGAAGGCGGCUAUCUGGACCGGUUCUGACGCUGAGGCGCGAAAGUGUGGGGAGCAAACAGGAUU